Kogia breviceps (pygmy sperm whale) is the source of this 255-nucleotide non-coding RNA. The record is from RefSeq and is a predicted model, not a curated record. Lineage: Eukaryota; Metazoa; Chordata; Mammalia; Artiodactyla; Physeteridae.
GUCUCCUUAGGCUCCUCUUGGCUGUGACAGUUUCUCAGACCUUCCUUAUUUGUGAUGACCUUGACAGUUUUGAGGAGUCCUGGUCAGGCUGUAUCCUAGUCCAGUCGUCCUGAGACCACCAAGAACAAACCUUUAGUCUGCCAGUCAGCUCAGUUGAUCCACUGCAGUGAGGGAGGCUCCCAGCUUUCUGGCUGGCUGAGAAAACUGGCCUGUCUGGUCCGGGUUCUGCUGCACUCCACACUCCCCCACCCCCAC